This 2931-nucleotide ribosomal RNA is filed under the name Escherichia coli. Its description in RNAcentral is "23S ribosomal RNA". It matches the Rfam family "Bacterial large subunit ribosomal RNA". Lineage: Bacteria; Pseudomonadati; Pseudomonadota; Gammaproteobacteria; Enterobacterales; Enterobacteriaceae. The record is from RNAcentral. RNAcentral also lists the same sequence under 1 other name.
GGGUUGUGAGGUUAAGCGACUAAGCGUACACGGUGGAUGCCCUGGCAGUCAGAGGCGAUGAAGGACGUGCUAAUCUGCGAUAAGCGUCGGUAAGGUGAUAUGAACCGUUAUAACCGGCGAUUUCCGAAUGGGGAAACCCAGUGUGAUUCGUCACACUAUCAUUAACUGAAUCCAUAGGUUAAUGAGGCGAACCGGGGGAACUGAAACAUCUAAGUACCCCGAGGAAAAGAAAUCAACCGAGAUUCCCCCAGUAGCGGCGAGCGAACGGGGAGCAGCCCAGAGCCUGAAUCAGUGUGUGUGUUAGUGGAAGCGUCUGGAAAGGCGUGCGAUACAGGGUGACAGCCCCGUACACAAAAAUGCACAUAUUGUGAGCUCGAUGAGUAGGGCGGGACACGUGGUAUCCUGUCUGAAUAUGGGGGGACCAUCCUCCAAGGCUAAAUACUCCUGACUGACCGAUAGUGAACCAGUACCGUGAGGGAAAGGCGAAAAGAACCCCGGCGAGGGGAGUGAAAAAGAACCUGAAACCGUGUACGUACAAGCAGUGGGAGCACGCUUAGGCGUGUGACUGCGUACCUUUUGUAUAAUGGGUCAGCGACUUAUAUUCUGUAGCAAGGUUAACCGAAUAGGGGAGCCGAAGGGAAACCGAGUCUUAACUGGGCGUUAAGUUGCAGGGUAUAGACCCGAAACCCGGUGAUCUAGCCAUGGGCAGGUUGAAGGUUGGGUAACACUAACUGGAGGACCGAACCGACUAAUGUUGAAAAAUUAGCGGAUGACUUGUGGCUGGGGGUGAAAGGCCAAUCAAACCGGGAGAUAGCUGGUUCUCCCCGAAAGCUAUUUAGGUAGCGCCUCGUGAAUUCAUCUCCGGGGGUAGAGCACUGUUUCGGCAAGGGGGUCAUCCCGACUUACCAACCCGAUGCAAACUGCGAAUACCGGAGAAUGUUAUCACGGGAGACACACGGCGGGUGCUAACGUCCGUCGUGAAGAGGGAAACAACCCAGACCGCCAGCUAAGGUCCCAAAGUCAUGGUUAAGUGGGAAACGAUGUGGGAAGGCCCAGACAGCCAGGAUGUUGGCUUAGAAGCAGCCAUCAUUUAAAGAAAGCGUAAUAGCUCACUGGUCGAGUCGGCCUGCGCGGAAGAUGUAACGGGGCUAAACCAUGCACCGAAGCUGCGGCAGCGACGCUUAUGCGUUGUUGGGUAGGGGAGCGUUCUGUAAGCCUGCGAAGGUGUGCUGUGAGGCAUGCUGGAGGUAUCAGAAGUGCGAAUGCUGACAUAAGUAACGAUAAAGCGGGUGAAAAGCCCGCUCGCCGGAAGACCAAGGGUUCCUGUCCAACGUUAAUCGGGGCAGGGUGAGUCGACCCCUAAGGCGAGGCCGAAAGGCGUAGUCGAUGGGAAACAGGUUAAUAUUCCUGUACUUGGUGUUACUGCGAAGGGGGGACGGAGAAGGCUAUGUUGGCCGGGCGACGGUUGUCCCGGUUUAAGCGUGUAGGCUGGUUUUCCAGGCAAAUCCGGAAAACUAAGGCUGAGGCGUGAUGACGAGGCACUACGGUGCUGAAGCAACAAAUGCCCUGCUUCCAGGAAAAGCCUCUAAGCAUCAGGUAACAUCAAAUCGUACCCCAAACCGACACAGGUGGUCAGGUAGAGAAUACCAAGGCGCUUGAGAGAACUCGGGUGAAGGAACUAGGCAAAAUGGUGCCGUAACUUCGGGAGAAGGCACGCUGAUAUGUAGGUGAAGUCCCUCGCGGAUGGAGCUGAAAUCAGUCGAAGAUACCAGCUGGCUGCAACUGUUUAUUAAAAACACAGCACUGUGCAAACACGAAAGUGGACGUAUACGGUGUGACGCCUGCCCGGUGCCGGAAGGUUAAUUGAUGGGGUUAGCGCAAGCGAAGCUCUUGAUCGAAGCCCCGGUAAACGGCGGCCGUAACUAUAACGGUCCUAAGGUAGCGAAAUUCCUUGUCGGGUAAGUUCCGACCUGCACGAAUGGCGUAAUGAUGGCCAGGCUGUCUCCACCCGAGACUCAGUGAAAUUGAACUCGCUGUGAAGAUGCAGUGUACCCGCGGCAAGACGGAAAGACCCCGUGAACCUUUACUAUAGCUUGACACUGAACAUUGAGCCUUGAUGUGUAGGAUAGGUGGGAGGCUUGGAAGUGUGGACGCCAGUCUGCAUGGAGCCGACCUUGAAAUACCACCCUUUAAUGUUUGAUGUUCUAACGUUGACCCGUAAUCCGGGUUGCGGACAGUGUCUGGUGGGUAGUUUGACUGGGGCGGUCUCCUCCUAAAGAGUAACGGAGGAGCACGAAGGUUGGCUAAUCCUGGUCGGACAUCAGGAGGUUAGUGCAAUGGCAUAAGCCAGCUUGACUGCGAGCGUGACGGCGCGAGCAGGUGCGAAAGCAGGUCAUAGUGAUCCGGUGGUUCUGAAUGGAAGGGCCAUCGCUCAACGGAUAAAAGGUACUCCGGGGAUAACAGGCUGAUACCGCCCAAGAGUUCAUAUCGACGGCGGUGUUUGGCACCUCGAUGUCGGCUCAUCACAUCCUGGGGCUGAAGUAGGUCCCAAGGGUAUGGCUGUUCGCCAUUUAAAGUGGUACGCGAGCUGGGUUUAGAACGUCGUGAGACAGUUCGGUCCCUAUCUGCCGUGGGCGCUGGAGAACUGAGGGGGGCUGCUCCUAGUACGAGAGGACCGGAGUGGACGCAUCACUGGUGUUCGGGUUGUCAUGCCAAUGGCACUGCCCGGUAGCUAAAUGCGGAAGAGAUAAGUGCUGAAAGCAUCUAAGCACGAAACUUGCCCCGAGAUGAGUUCUCCCUGACUCCUUGAGAGUCCUGAAGGAACGUUGAAGACGACGACGUUGAUAGGCCGGGUGUGUAAGCGCAGCGAUGCGUUGAGCUAACCGGUACUAAUGAACCGUGAGGCUUAACCUUACAACGCCGAAGGUGUUU